ACACGCUGGCGGCGUGCCUAACACAUGCAAGUCAACUUGACUGAAGAGCAAUCUGACAGUAGAGUGGCGCAAGGGUGCGUAACGCGUAAGUAACUUGCCCAAGGUAAGGAAUAACGUCGAGAAAUCGGCGCUAAUACCUCAUAAUGCAGCGGAUCCGCAUGGAUAUGUUGUUAAAGGUUUACCGCCUUGGGAUAGGCUUGCGUCUGAUUAGCUAGUUGGUGUGGUAACGGCACACCAAGGCUACGAUCAGUAACUGGUCUGAGAGGAUGAUCAGUCACACUGGAACUGAGACACGGUCCAGACUCCUACGGGAGGCAGCAGUGAGGAAUAUUGGGCAAUGCUCGAAAGAGUGACCCAGCAACGCCGCGUGGAGGAUGAAGGUAUUCUAUAUCGUAAACUCCUGUGAGAGCAGACGAAAGACAGAUUAUUAAUCUGGAUGACUGUAUGCUCAGAGGAAGCCCCGGCUAACUACGUG
RNAcentral lists this ribosomal RNA (475 nucleotides) under uncultured bacterium. RNAcentral's name for it is "bacterial SSU rRNA". It matches the Rfam family "Bacterial small subunit ribosomal RNA", at positions 33 to 507 of the family's 1533-position model. The record is from RNAcentral.